AGUGAACGCUGGCGGUAGGCCUAACACAUGCAAGUCGAACGGCAGCACAGUAAGAGCUUGCUCUUACGGGUGGCGAGUGGCGGACGGGUGAGGAAUACAUCGGAAUCUACUUUUUCGUGGGGGAUAACGUAGGGAAACUUACGCUAAUACCGCAUACGACCUACGGGUGAAAGCAGGGGAUCUUCGGACCUUGCGCGAUUGAAUGAGCCGAUGUCGGAUUAGCUAGUUGGCGGGGUAAAGGCCCACCAAGGCGACGAUCCGUAGCUGGUCUGAGAGGAUGAUGAGCCACACUGGAAGUGAGACACGGCCCAGACUCCUACGGGAGGCAGCAGUGGGGAAUAUUGGACAAUGGGCGCAAGCCUGAUCCAGCCAUACCGCGUGGAUGAAGAAGGCCUUCGGGUUGUAAAGCCCUUUUGUUGGGAAAGAAAAGCAGCAGGUUAAUACCCCGCUGUUCUGACGGUACCCAAAGAAUAAGCACCGGCUAACUUCGUG
Molecule: ribosomal RNA, 492 nt
Filed under: uncultured bacterium
Lineage: Bacteria
Description: partial 16S ribosomal RNA
Rfam family: Bacterial small subunit ribosomal RNA
Source: RNAcentral